Molecule: long non-coding RNA, 227 nt
Filed under: Carica papaya (papaya)
Lineage: Eukaryota; Viridiplantae; Streptophyta; Magnoliopsida; Brassicales; Caricaceae
Description: long non-coding RNA (CPAP_LNC016633)
Source: RNAcentral
AAUGUGGAUUUGGAACUCAAGCCCACAAUGUGAUGAACAAGUUACAAAAAUAUUUAUUUUUAUAUAUACAAUAAAUUAGCCGCACGCAAGGAACCGGAUUCAUAAACACUUCCUCGAUUACCAUCAUCGUACCACAAUUAUAUAUGCACACCUUUCUUUUGACUCACUUUAUGCAUAUAUAUAUAAGACUUGCUCUCUAGCUAAUUAUAAUGAUUUGCAAACAUUUC